AAGCGAGAAUCAUACCCCUAGACCAACGAGCCGUGCUUUUCGUUUCGCUUUGUAAGUAGAAUAGGAGGCGCCCUAGAGCCUGCGCAUUUGCGUCCCGGCUGAACAGGACCCACGCAAUGGCCUGUGCACUUUGGGCUCGCCUCCGGUAUCCGAUCCUGUAUCCGCACAGUGGGACACCGAGACUCGCUCUGUAGCCCGCGAGCCCUGGAUCUGGACGCAGGGAGAACGCAGCCAGUCCGCGCUGCAGCGGGGAAAUGUGCCUUUCUGCAGACGCAGGGACCACGAGUUUACACUGGACCUGGGAGCUGGGGCGGGAACGCGGAGAACUACAGACCGGGAGCUGGGGGCGGCAGCCCCGCACGGGGGCAAGGGGUGACACACAGAGAGAGAAGGGCCCACGGAUUCCCAAGGUGCCCCGGAUCCAGGGUGCUGAGAUGCAAAGAGGAGAGGGUAAGUGGGGUGGAAUGGAAGGAGGGGAAAGAGCUGGGAGCUAAGGUGAGAGCAGGGUGGGGCCAGGGGAGAAUGAAAACCCAGCCUGUUGGUGGUUUCUUCUUUUUUUUUUUUUAAGAGCCACAAGCUGAGAUCAAAGGUGAUAUUUUUACAGCAACUGAAAUAGAAAACCACUGGGCACACACUGGGAGGUGAGCAGCCGGCACACAGGCCCCUUUAUGCAGCCUGUGGCCACAGCAAGCACGCUGCCCUCUGC
RNAcentral lists this long non-coding RNA (706 nucleotides) under Rhinopithecus bieti (black snub-nosed monkey). RNAcentral's name for it is "lncRNA (ENSRBIG00000046323.1)". Lineage: Eukaryota; Metazoa; Chordata; Mammalia; Primates; Cercopithecidae. The record is from RNAcentral.